Molecule: long non-coding RNA, 5324 nt
Filed under: Brassica rapa (field mustard)
Lineage: Eukaryota; Viridiplantae; Streptophyta; Magnoliopsida; Brassicales; Brassicaceae
Description: long non-coding RNA (BRAP_LNC001717)
Source: RNAcentral
GAGAAACUCCUUCUCUCACUAGCUCUCUCUCACUCACGAUCUCUCUCUCUGUCGGACUCGAGCUCACGCUCUCCUCCUGAACUCUCGCUCACUCCGAUCGAGCUCAAGCUCGUCUCUUCUCUGAUUCUGUUACAGACCUCGACGUCGUAACUUCCGUCGAUCAAGAAGACGAUGUGAUCUGAUGAAGAUAAUAUCUUCAGCUCCUGAUCAAUUAUACUUUUGACCUCACUUCCUUAUUUCCAAAGAAUCCAGCUCACGUGAAAGUCUCAUGACCACUUAGAGCUUGAGUGAGACCUUCCCUUUGACUGAGAGACUUAGAAGAUAGAUGACAUAUUUCUACAAUCUCCACCUUGUCAUCGAUAUUCUUCAUGGCUCUACCUUCCCUUGAGCUUUCUCCUCAUGUACUUGAGCAAACUUGCUCAUCUGUAACUCCCUGCAGAUUCUUGCAUCUUCUCAGCUUCAUAUAGCUUUGAAUAAAGCAUAUUCAACUUCAUCCAUCUUUGAGCAUCACUGCUCAGCUUCAAUACUUCCUGAAAUUAGUUUCCUCCAAGCAUCUCAACCCGUAUCCAUCUUGAUACAACCUGAAGACUUCUUUGCCACUGCUCCUUUGAACCUCUUACCCGAAGCUCCACCUCAAUAGCUUGUCUUCAUACAAUCAAUCACCAUCAAUGAACCAGACAUGAAAACUCACAAGUCAUGGCUGUGAUGUUAAUCACUUUUUAUUCCUGAGUACUGUCUUCUUAAGUUGAUAAACGCUUUAACACAGCUUUGUGUUAAGCUCAACUUCUUCAUUGAUUCUCUUUUGGCAGUUUCUAUAAAACCGGAAACUUGAGACGACCACCCAUCAGUAACUCAACACAAUCCAUAAGCUGCUCACUUGAUGCUUGACCUGUUACUGUGAUUUAAAGUCAUCAACCUUCUGCCAAAAUCUGAUGCCGAUGCUAGCUUGAAACUAUUUCAGAACUUGAAUCACUUGCGGAACAUGAAUCACUUGCCUCAAACCAGAAGCUCCUUGAUUCAAAACCUUUGAAACCAAUCUCAACAAACAGUAGACACCAACUGCUUAACCUGAGAUUUUCCUCACAACCACUUGAUGAACACACUGACUUGAACACCACCCUGCAAAAGCACCUGAGAUCAUAAUCAAAAAAUACUACUGAAAUCUCUUGCAGAAAACCAGAAACAUAUAAGUUUCCUCCCUGAAUCAACCCUUGAUUCAACCAGCCUCUGCCUAGCCAACUCGACCUUGAAACCUGAACUUGAACCGCUGUUGAAACUCAACAGAUCACGCCUCAUAGCUUCACCUUGCUGUGAGUACUUUCGACCCUAGUUCCCUUUCCAAUUCCCUGAGUAAACAAGACAGUACCAGUAGCUCGAAAAUCACUCCUUGUACUCUUUAACCAUAUCUCUCAUCAUAAGAACCUGAGAUACUCAAGAGAUACUUUCUUUACAGCAUCUUUCACAUCAACAUCGAGCCCAUGAUGUGUUUCCCCUGCUGUACCAGACCUGCAACACAAUCAACAGUGUGCAAAACUCCACCAAAACCUUUGGUACUUGCAUCAUAGAUCUUCUCGGACCUGAACCAAAACAACUCUUCUUGGCUCACUAACUCUUCCUCUAGUGUUUUUCACACUUAGGCUCCACACUUGUUCAAUCUCACAAGUGUUCUUUACUGAGAAGAUUUCAACUUUCUUUGAUGCAACCAGACAACUUAUAACUUCUCAAGUUGUUGUCUCAGAAAUCAGUUUUGAAAACAUGUUUCUGCCUCAGCCUUCUCUAAGACUUCAAAUCAGUUGCAAGCUUCUUGAAAUGUCUCUCUUUAUGCUACCUUCACACGCCUCAUUAUACCUUCUUGAAGUGAUACACUUUGAGAAAACUUCAGCAAGAACUUGUUUCUCAAUCCUCAUACGAGAAAAUAACCAUGAUCACUUCAGUCUACUUCAUCUCAAGACAUUCACAGAACCUGCAACUUCUUAUAUUUCAGCAACCUUAUCUUCUUUUAACUUCAGAGCCUGCCCACAUUCUGAUUUAUGCAAAAAACUCAGACUAAUACUUCAUCAAUCUUCACCUUAUACCAGAGAUCAAAACACCUUUGAUUUCUUCUCCAGCAAAGCCAACAUAAACCUUUAUUUACUGCUGCUUAAAACUCUGAUGAUACAAGAUUCUUUGCUGAAAAUAGCUCCACCCAGAAACUGUUUCUCUCUCUCUGAUUCUGCCUUGAUGUCACUACACUUCACAUUCUCUUGUACACACUCUACUUGGUUCUCUUUUCCUUCCUGCUACCACACAAAACCAGAAUGAAUUGCAUAAGCUGUUGCAAGCUUAUUUGCAGGAACUUUAACCCAACAAUACACUGAGAAGACUUGAGAAAUUCGUCUGAACCAGUAGCACUGCUCCACCUGAAGCCAAAAAACAUCUGAAGAUGUGCACUACAACACUUGUAGAGGCAAGACUCCACCUGAAACAGAAACCUCUCAGACCUUACUGAAUUUCUCUUCACACACAAAUUCACUUCUCAGACUUAUAACCAUCCUUAAACCUUCCUGCACUUUUUUCUUGAUCCAUUAAACUGUUCUGUGUACUUUGACUGAAUAUAUGGCUUCUUGUUUCAACAUACAUGUCAGAACUUAUGACAAAUAUCUUCUGUUUUCAGCCAUUUAAUCUCAGUCACUUAUACCCGAGAAACCACCAGGAGUCAUUGCUUCUUCAAAGCAAUUCAUGUACCACCAAACUGAAAGUGCUUCGACCAUCCUCUGUAUGUUAUGACCUGUAAUAGUCUCAUACACGCUGGCAUCUUCAUCCUUUCUGAAUUUUAAUCAAAAUCAGAACCCAUGCUCUCUGCUCUUGUCUCACGUGCUCCACCUUCUUGUCUCUGAAACUUUAACCUGUCUUGGACUUUAGUUUCUAAAAAACGUGAGCUACCAUAACCUGAGACAUCACCUGCAGACCUGAGCUUGUAACAUCUCUGUCCAAGAGGAAACAGAACCAGCAAAACCAAUUUCUUGCUUUCUUUUCCAGUGGAACACAAAACUAGAAACUUGCUUCUUUUCUAGUUUCUUUAUCACUGAUAUUCAAUCAGCCUUGCUUCAGAGUUCAUCCCUUCUAGUCUUCUGCAGAGACACCUUUGAGUAAGACAACAAGACCUCUUCACCGAGCUUGCCCCUGUUACUCACAACAUCUCACCAAAGCUUAGCUCAAGCUGCUUCUUCCUAAAGAUAAAACCUGUUUCUGCAUCACUAACUUGAUGACUCUUUCGCUUCAUCUAAUAACCAGAAGCUUCUCAUCUCAUUCCUUUAAUGAGACUGACUUCACUCCUGAGACUGAACCCACGCAGAACCACUUCUGUUUAUCACAUUACUGCCACUGAAGAGUAGUCACAAAUGUAACAGCCUUGAUUCAUUUAGUAGAAACCCAGCCUUGUUGCUACAAGCUCCAUUAUGAUCUUUUUCUAACCCUGAUCAUCACCACCUGAGCUCCUCAUAUCCACAAGAAUCUGAUCCUUUACCCUCAGACUGAACCUGCAGACCUUCAGCUCAGAACCUCUGAAAACUGAACCAACCUUGAAGUUUCAAAAUCUGAACCUGUCUUGUUCCACAACUGAGUAAACCUCACUGUCAUGCUUCUCUGCAACUUCCUUUCACUUAAAUCCUGGAACCUUUAAUCAACACCCAAAUAGCCACUGAAACACAUACCAACAUCAACUUCUAAGGCGUCCCCUAGACCUGAGAUUCAUAAGUGCCCCAACUGCCAUUUUUUCCAUCUUCUGAAACAACACUGCAUAUUUCUUCCACAAACGAGCUGACCAAAACACAAUCUGACACCAGACCCGAGCCUUGAUCAUCCUUUGCAAAGAUAACACACAUUACUUGUGAUUCAGCAAGCUUCAGUUCCCCUUAUCCUUUGCAGAAAAUGAUUAACCAUCCAUCACAAACUACCUUUGUGACUGUAUUGAAACAAGACCACCUUAUCUUCAAGAUUUGAGCCUGAAAUCUGUUGAACUUGAUUUGAUUCAAGCUCCUUAAGUCUGGCUUGACUUAACCUGAAUAAUCUCCAACAUGAGAUAUUACCGGAAAGGAGUAUAUCAGCAGCUACGAAGAAGACGACGAACACUCAGCCUUCAAUUCCUCCGAUAACAACAAAGACACGCAGCUGGAACAGGGGAAAGCAAUGGUGACUCAAGAGCUAUGAUCUUUUACUUGAUCUCUCUAUCUUGUACUUGCUUUCUCCUUCCUCUGAAUACUCUAUCUCUCCCUUCUGUAUCUCAUUCUUGCUUCAGCCUCUACGGAUCUUUCCUUUCUUGUGAAUAACACAACAUAGCUAGCAAGUCUCUUCAUCAUAAUCUCACACCAGACUAUGACUCUAGCCUCAAGAUAGAUCACCUUGCUUCUGCACAUGGUUUUACAAACCAGAAACCAAUAGAUCCGACUGGAUCUUCCUCCGUGUACGUUCUUUCUUACGCUUCCGACGUCUUCUUCGUCUACCACAAGCAAACAUCACUUUCUUCUUCCUUUGACGCUGACGCUGCAUAAUGAACGACAUCAGCUCUGAUUCGUCACACUUGAUAUGAGAGCGAUGCGAUCUCGAGACUACAGAAACUCUGAUUCUUCUUCUUCAGAAUCGAUCAAGAUUCGUUACCGAUGAGUCCUUGAAUCGCCAUAACCAGCGCUCUGAUACCACUUGUUGAGGAUUCUAUCGGUUUCCUGCAAGCUUCAAUGUAUCUCAAAUCGCAAAUCUAGCGGAAACAAUCAAUCGCAGUGUGGAAUCGAAUCAAGCGAGAAAGUAAACGACACAAGAGUUUUUGGUAACCCGGUGUUCACCGCACUUCUCCGAUGUGGAGAAGCCGCUAUACUCACCGGAGAGAGAAUUAGGUCUCUCAACCUUUCCAAUAGAUGAAACUGAGAAGAGUACAAUCACAGGAGAUCUUCUUCCUCUCUAUCUCUGUUACAAUCACCAAGAGAUAAGAGUAUAAUCUAGGAAGAAGAAACAAGAAGAUGAGCUUAGCUAGAUACACAGAGAAACUCCUUCUCUCACUAGCUCUCUCUCACUCACGAUCUCUCUCUCUGUCGGACUCGAGCUCACGCUCUCCUCCUGAACUCUCGCUCACUCCGAUCGAGCUCAAGCUCGUCUCUUCUCUGAUUCUGUUACAGACCUCGACGUCGUAACUUCCGUCGAUCAAGAAGACGAUGUGAUCUGAUGAAGAUAAUAUCUUCAGCUCCUGAUCAAUUACACUUUUGACCUCACUUCCUUAUUUCCAAAGAAUCCAGCUCACGUGAAAGUCUCAUGACCACUUAGAGCUUGAGUGAGACCUUCCCUUUGACUGAGAG